UAUUUUAAUAGCUUAUAAAGAGUAUAAUAUUGAAGAUAUUAAGGAAGUUGAUUAACUUUAAAAUAU
Molecule: transfer RNA, 66 nt
Filed under: Micronychus sp. UPOL MT0005
Lineage: Eukaryota; Metazoa; Arthropoda; Insecta; Coleoptera; Lycidae
Also listed under: 1 other name
Description: tRNA-Phe
Source: RNAcentral